Long non-coding RNA from Polypterus senegalus (gray bichir), 266 nucleotides. RefSeq lists it as uncharacterized. The record is from RefSeq and is a predicted model, not a curated record. The transcript is spliced from 3 exons. Lineage: Eukaryota; Metazoa; Chordata; Cladistia; Polypteriformes; Polypteridae.
UUCAACGAGUCCAAUGGCCUGGUUUGCUGUGGUGACGUCAUUUGCCAGACCACCGUGAACUGCACAGGGCCACAAGACUCCUGCUUCUGCAGUGAAAGUGGGAUUUGUGGAUGCAUCACGAAAAAUAUUUGUGACUACCCUGCAUAUGCUGAAGUCCAGUUGGGCUUGAAUAUUGGAGUGGCGUUAAGGUGCUGCCAGAGCCUCCUGUGCAAUUCCUUGAAUACUGUUUGCAAUACGUGCUUUUCACCUUCUUCCUGGGAUACCUG